Molecule: ribosomal RNA, 850 nt
Filed under: uncultured bacterium
Lineage: Bacteria
Description: bacterial SSU rRNA
Rfam family: Bacterial small subunit ribosomal RNA
Source: RNAcentral
AGUUUGAUCCUGGCUCAGGAGGAACACUAGCGGGCAGGCUUAACACAUGCAAGUCGAGGGGCAGCAUGUCCAGCAAUGAAUGAUGGCGACCGGCGGAAGGGUGCGUAACGCGUGAGCAACAUGCCCUAUACAGGGAGAUACACCAGGGAAACUUGGUCUAAUAUCCCAUAGCAUUCAUUGAAGGCAUCUUUAAUGAAUUAAAGCUUCGGUGGUAUAGGAUUGGCUCGCGUGACAUUAGCCAGAUGGUGAGGUAACGGCUCACCAUAGCAAUGAUGUCUAGGGGUUUUGAGAGGAAGGCCCCCCACACUGGGACUGAGACACGGCCCAGACUCCUACGGGAGGCAGCAGUGAGGAAUAUUGGACAAUGGAUGGAAAUCUGAUCCAGCCAUGCCGCGUGCAGGAAGACGGCCUUAUGGGUUGUAAACUGCUUUUAUACGGGAGCAAUAAGGGUUACGAGUAAUCCGAUGAGAGUACUGUAUGAAUAAGGAUCGGCUAACUCCGUGCCAGCAGCCGCGGUAAUACGGAGGAUCCGAGCGUUAUCCGGAAUUAUUGGGUUUAAAGGGUGCGUAGGCGGCCAUUUAAGUCAGCGGUGAAAUUUUGCAGCUUAACUGUAACAGUGCCGUUGAUACUGUUUGGCUAGGAUUUGGUUGUAGUGUGCGGAAUGUGUGGUGUAGCGGUGAAAUGCUUAGAUAUCACACAGAACACCGAUUGCGAAGGCAGCACACUAAGUCAUUAUUGACGCUGAGGCACGAAAGUGUGGGGAUCAAACAGGAUUAGAUACCCUGGUAGUCCACACUGUAAACGAUGAUAACUCGCUGUCGGCGAUACACAGUCGGGGCCAAGCGAAAGC